Long non-coding RNA from Mustela erminea (ermine), 450 nucleotides. RefSeq lists it as uncharacterized. The transcript is spliced from 3 exons. The record is from RefSeq and is a predicted model, not a curated record. Lineage: Eukaryota; Metazoa; Chordata; Mammalia; Carnivora; Mustelidae.
GCUAUACUAAGAAUGCCCUUAGAUAUCCUGACAGCAGCACAGGGUGGCACAUGCGCAAUUAUCAAAGCAGAAUGUUGUAUGUACAUCCCAGACUAACACAAAACUGUCACAGAACUAAUAAAAUAUAUGAAUGCCCAGAUUAAAGGUCUAAAAGAUCCUUCUCUCUGUGACUGGUUAAGUUCCUGGUUUGGAGGAGGACUAUGGCCAACGAUUAAAUCUCCUUUUCGGGCUUCUCAUUUUUAUCACCUUAUUAAUCUUAGUAUGUUGCUUUGUUCAUUGUUUCUCUACUUGGUGCCGAGACUCCAUUGCUGCAAUGACUUCACAGCAACAGAUGAUCCUGACCACGCAGAGAGAUACUUCUUCACUGUCAGCGCUGGAUUCAGCUGCCUCUGCUUUUCUAACUCCCUUAUACCUUCCAACACUGAUCAAUAUUGACCCGAGUAGGUAGGG